This 313-nucleotide ribosomal RNA is filed under the name uncultured stramenopile. Its description in RNAcentral is "partial large subunit ribosomal RNA". It matches the Rfam family "Eukaryotic large subunit ribosomal RNA", at positions 40 to 358 of the family's 3401-position model. The record is from RNAcentral.
AUAUAACUAAGCGGAGGAAAAGAAACUAACUAGGAUUCCCCCAGUAACGGCGAGUGAAGCGGGAAAAGCUCAAGCUUAAAAUCUCCAUUCCUAGAAUGGCGAAUUGUAGUCUAUGGAAGCUGUGGUCAGCAACGUUCUGUGAGCCAAGUCCCUUGGAAUAGGGCAGCAUAGAGGGUGAGACUCCCGUCCGCCUGGCCUUUUGAACCAGAUGUCUACGAGUCGAGUUGUUUGGGAUUGCAGCUCAAAGUGGGUGGUAAAUUCCAUCUAAAGCUAAAUAUUGGUGGGAGACCGAUAGCGAACAAGUACCGUGAGG